Physeter macrocephalus (sperm whale) is the source of this 1124-nucleotide long non-coding RNA. RefSeq lists it as uncharacterized. Lineage: Eukaryota; Metazoa; Chordata; Mammalia; Artiodactyla; Physeteridae. The record is from RefSeq and is a predicted model, not a curated record. The transcript has 3 exons.
CCUAAACGUCCAUCGACAGAAGGGAGGAUAAAGAAGGAAAAGUACAUCAGUGAGACCGUCGCGGCGCAUUGCACGCUGGCCGUGGACACCAGCCCCGUCGGCCGCACUCCCGGGGCCCUCUGCGGAGAGCUUCUCAGUUGUAUCGUCCAGUCCAUCUGUCUUUUCCAUAUUUCUCCCGUUGUAUUUUUAACCUGAUGGGGGCUGUUCUCUCUCCCGCUUCCGUGUCUUCCCCCCCAGGUAUGGGUACAGUUGGGUUUUUCUGGCCCACACUCACUCUCUCUGUUUCCUUUAAUUUGGGGGCUGGGGGCACCCCAUCUGUGUCUGGGUGGGUGUGUUGUCAACUGGGGGGGCUGUGCUGCAAACUGUCGAACCAGCCCCCUGGUGGGGCCCCCGGGUUUCAGUGCCUGGGGGUCCUUUCUGUGGGCCUCUCGGUGUCUCUCUCCAAAGCGGAGCCCUGGGCCCCCGGCCUGGGCACAGAGCUGAGUGACCUGCGGACGCCCGGGGGUGUCUGUCUACAAUCUUCCUUCUCCACCCCGCUACCCUCCAUAGACUGCUGCACCAGCGUCAGCCUGUUUCAUCGCUCUGGUUUGGCUUUGUUGUUGUUUUUUUUUUUGGCCUCGCUGUGCGGCACGUGGGAUCUUAUUUCCCUGACCAGGGAUUGGACCCAGGCCCCCUGCAUUGGAAGCGCAGAGUCUUAACCACUGGACCGCCAGGGAAGUCCAUCAUUGCUGUGGUUUUGAGUGCAUCUUCAUACCUGGUUCUACAGGCUUUUUUGCUUUUUUUUCCAAAUUAACUUACUUAUCAUUGACCUUGUUUCCUUACAAGUGUUAGAACAAGUGUGACAAAACCAAUGGCAGGAAGGUGAAUCGGGGUGGCAUCGCGUCUGCAGUCACCUGGGAGAGACUCAGGGUCUGCACGGCUCCCCGUGUGCCCAGAUGGAGCAGAUCUCCUCGUUUCUCGGGAUCGCCUGCGUCCAGACUUCCUCUCUGCCGGCUGACCCACUCCUGCAUAGUUUCCCUCCUACUGGGAACACUGCCCUGCUUUCUAUCAGGAUUCUGCUGGCUUACUGCCAUGGCAAGGAGCGCCACUGAUUUACAAACACUGAAACGUGAAAUGUGUACAUG